Molecule: ribosomal RNA, 253 nt
Filed under: uncultured bacterium
Lineage: Bacteria
Description: partial 16S ribosomal RNA
Rfam family: Bacterial small subunit ribosomal RNA
Source: RNAcentral
UACAGAGGAUGCAAGCGUUAUCCGGAAUGAUUGGGCGUAAAGCGUCUGUAGGUGGCUUUUUAAGUCUGCCGUCAAAUCCCAGGGCUUAACCCUGGACAGGCGGUGGAAACUACCAAGCUGGAGUAUGGUAGGGGCAGAGGGAAUUUCCGGUGGAGCGGUGAAAUGCGUAGAGAUCGGAAAGAACACCAACGGCGAAGGCACUCUGCUGGGCCGACACUGACACUGAGAGACGAAAGCUAGGGGAGCAAAUGGG